This 510-nucleotide ribosomal RNA is filed under the name Ilybius nakanei. RNAcentral's name for it is "partial 16S ribosomal RNA". It matches the Rfam family "Bacterial large subunit ribosomal RNA", at positions 1829 to 2597 of the family's 2925-position model. Lineage: Eukaryota; Metazoa; Arthropoda; Insecta; Coleoptera; Dytiscidae. The record is from RNAcentral.
GUCCUUUUGAGAUUUAUUUAAGGUUUAACCUGCCCACUGAUUUAUUGAAGGGCCGCAGUAUUUUGACUGUGCAAAGGUAGCAUAAUCAUUAGUUUUUUAAUUAAAAGCUUGUAUGAAGGGUUGGACGAGGUAAAUUCUGUCUCUGGAUAAUUAAUUUUAGAAUUUAAUUUUUAAGUCAAAAAGCUUAAAUUUUUUUAAAAGACGAGAAGACCCUAUAGAUCUUUAUAUUAUAUUUAUUAGUUAUAUAUAAGAUUUUUUUAAUUAAUUAAUAGAUUUAAUAUUUUAUUGGGGUAAUAAAAAGAUUUAAUUAAUUCUUUUUUUAUUUAAACAUUAAUAAAUGAAUUUAUGAUCCAGUAUUAUUGAUUAAAAGAUUAAGUUACCUUAGGGAUAACAGCGUAAUUUUUUUAGAGAGUUCAUAUCGAUAAAAAAGUUUGCGACCUCGAUGUUGGAUUAAAAAUUAUUUUAGGUGUAGAAGCUUAAAAUUUUGGUCUGUUCGACCAUUAAAUUUUU